This 20-nucleotide ribosomal RNA is filed under the name Golovinomyces cichoracearum. RNAcentral describes it as "partial 28S ribosomal RNA". The record is from RNAcentral. Lineage: Eukaryota; Fungi; Ascomycota; Leotiomycetes; Helotiales; Erysiphaceae.
UGGACCUCGAAUCAGGUAGG